This 494-nucleotide ribosomal RNA is filed under the name uncultured bacterium. RNAcentral's name for it is "partial 16S ribosomal RNA". It matches the Rfam family "Bacterial small subunit ribosomal RNA", at positions 28 to 507 of the family's 1533-position model. The record is from RNAcentral.
GACGAACGCUGGCGACGCGCUUAACACAUGCAAGUCGAACGGAAAGGCCUGCUUUCCCUUGUGGAUUGCGGGUACUCGAGUGGCGAACGGGUGAGUAACACGUGAGUGAUCUGCCCCCAACUUGGGUAUAAGCCUGGGAAACUGGGUCUAAUUCCCGAUAGGACUGCAGGGUGGUGCCUGUGGUGGAAAACGAUUUUCUAGUGGUUGGGGAUGAGCUCGCGGCCUAUCAGCUUGUUGGUGGGGUAAUGGCCUACCAAGGCGGCGACGGGUAGCCGGCCUGAGAGGGUGGACGGCCACAUUGGGACUGAGAUACGGCCCAGACUCCUACGGGAGGCAGCAGUGGGGAAUAUUGCACAAUGGGCGGAAGCCUGAGGCAGCGACGCCGCGUGGGGGAUGACGGCCUUCGGGUUGUAAACUCCUUUCGACCGCGAGGAAGCCACCUGGUUGGAAGGGUGGUGACGGUAGUGGUAGAAGAAGCACCGGCUAACUACGUG